UAGGAAAUCUUCGGCAAUGGGGGGAACCCUGACCGAGCAACGCCGCGUGAGUGAAGAAGGUUUUCGGAUCGUAAAGCUCUGUUGUUAAGGAAGAACGAGUGUGAGAAUGGAAAGUUCAUACUGUGACGGUACUUAACCAGAAAGGGACGGCUAACUACGUGCCAGCAGCCGCGGUAAUACGUAGGUCCCGAGCGUUGUCCGGAUUUAUUGGGCGUAAAGCGAGCGCAGGCGGUUAGAUAAGUCUGAAGUUAAAGGCAGUGGCUCAACCAUUGUAGGCUUUGGAAACUGUUUAACUUGAGUGCAGAAGGGGAGAGUGGAAUUCCAUGUGUAGCGGUGAAAUGCGUAGAUAUAUGGAGGAACACCGGUGGCGAAAGCGGCUCUCUGGUCUGUAACUGACGCUGAGGCUCGAAAGCGUGGGGAGCGAACAGG
Molecule: ribosomal RNA, 429 nt
Filed under: Bacteroidota bacterium
Lineage: Bacteria; Pseudomonadati; Bacteroidota
Description: Bacteroidetes bacterium partial 16S ribosomal RNA
Rfam family: Bacterial small subunit ribosomal RNA
Source: RNAcentral